AUUGAACGCUGGCGGCAUGCCUUACACAUGCAAGUCGAACGGCAGCACGGGAGCAAUCCUGGUGGCGAGUGGCGAACGGGUGAGUAGUGUAUCGGGACGUGCCCAGUCGUGGGGGAUAACGUAGCGAAAGCUACGCUAAUACCGCAUACGAUCUGUGGAUGAGAGCGGGGGACCGUAAGGCCUCGCGCGAUUGGAGCGGCCGAUAACAGAUUAGGUAGUUGGUGGGGUAAAGGCCUACCAAGCCGACGAUCUGUAGCUGGUCUGAGAGGACGACCAGCCACACUGGGACUGAGACACGGCCCAGACUCCUACGGGAGGCAGCAGUGGGGAAUUUUGGACAAUGGGCGCAAGCCUGAUCCAGCAAUGCCGCGUGCAGGAUGAAGGCCUUCGGGUUGUAAACUGCUUUUGUACGGAGCGAAAAGGCUCUCUCUAAUACAGGGGGCUCAUGACGGUACCGUAAGAAUAAGCACCGGCUAACUACGCGCCAGCCGCCGCGGUAA
Molecule: ribosomal RNA, 500 nt
Filed under: uncultured bacterium
Lineage: Bacteria
Description: partial 16S ribosomal RNA
Rfam family: Bacterial small subunit ribosomal RNA
Source: RNAcentral